RNAcentral lists this transfer RNA (152 nucleotides) under Candidatus Nitrosarchaeum limnium SFB1. Its description in RNAcentral is "tRNA-OTHER". The record is from RNAcentral. Lineage: Archaea; Thermoproteati; Nitrososphaerota; Nitrososphaeria; Nitrosopumilales; Nitrosopumilaceae.
GGGGUCGUAGCCUAGCCUGGUAGGGCGACAGUGUAUACGAUAGAUCACCGCUAAGGGCUCCAAAGGUAAACUAAGCUAAACUGACUCACGGAUGAUGUAAGUUUGGAGCUGUAGUGACCCGUAGGUCGCCGGUUCGAUUCCGGUCGGCCCCA